Molecule: long non-coding RNA, 968 nt
Organism: Homo sapiens (human)
Lineage: Eukaryota; Metazoa; Chordata; Mammalia; Primates; Hominidae
Gene: MAP9-AS1
Product: MAP9 antisense RNA 1
Source: Ensembl
AAUGAUGACUCAUCUGAGAUGAGCAAGUUGGUCCAGUCAGACCAAACAAAAGACAUUCUAUAAUCAGGGGAGAAGUCUUCUCUAUAUCUCUCUUAUAUGAGCAAAUUUAAUGACCUCCACCAUCUCUAAGAACAAGCAGCUAUUUCUGUAGAGAAAGAUCAUCUUUGGAUAACAAUACAUGAUUUUAGGCUCUAAAAGUUAAAACGUGUUUGUAACGUUGAUAUUAUGCAGAGGUCUUGACAGAACUUGGCAGUCUCUGAGGCUACAGAGAAGUGUGAAAAAGAGCAUAGAGAUUUCAGAAGGAGGCAGAUUCAGUCAGACGUACUGAAUCCCGUUUGAUCUCAACUCAGGCACACUCCAGAUGGACGGAGCAGGAAAACCCUUAGUGAAACCUGCCUCUGCAGGUUGAUGGCUUGGGAGGAAAGGCAUUAUGGAAAAUGAUUAGUUUAUGGAAAAAAUAAAUAAACAAGACUGGUCAGAAAGACUGUGAAAGAAGAACUAUAAAGGGAGAUGAAUCCAAGCAGAUAUUUAGACAUAUCAAGCCUAAUAAUGGAAGUGUGGCACUGGAAUCACGAGACUGACCAAUGGAACAGAAAGUUAAGAAACAGACCCGAAAACAUGAGAAGAUGUGAGAAUCACAGCAAAGGAAGAAUGGGCAUGAAUAGUAAAUGGUAAAUGUGGGGAUGCAGUAUUGAACAGCACACUGGAGUUUUUGUCCAGAAGUUUGACUUUAGAAGAUAAGAAAUAACUGAGCGUAUUACAAGCAGGAGUUAGAGGAAGAGACUCAGUACAGAAGAGACAGGAACAAAAGUUCACCUCCAUUCAAUGGGAAAGGAUACAGAUCAAGAGUUCAGGAAAAGUAGGAGAAAGAAGCUCUAUUCCAGAAGCAGUCUGGAGCACAAAGAAUCCCUAAUCACUGACAUUAAGAAAGAAGAAAAAUAUUCCUAGGACGAUCCUGGAGAGCAAAG